Molecule: ribosomal RNA, 213 nt
Filed under: uncultured bacterium
Lineage: Bacteria
Description: partial 16S ribosomal RNA
Rfam family: Bacterial small subunit ribosomal RNA
Source: RNAcentral
UACAUGGGGUGCAAACGUUGCUCGGAAUUAUUGGGCGUAAAGAGCUCGUAGGCGGUUCGUCGCGUCGGCUGUGAAAAACCUGAGGCUCAACCUCAGGCCUGCAGUCGAUACGGGCGGACUUGAGUACUGCAGGGGAGACUGGAAUUCCUGGUGUAGCGGUGAAAUGCGCAGGAUAUCAGGAGGAACACCGGUGGCGAAGGCGGGGUCUCUGGG